Molecule: ribosomal RNA, 488 nt
Filed under: uncultured bacterium
Lineage: Bacteria
Description: partial 16S ribosomal RNA
Rfam family: Bacterial small subunit ribosomal RNA
Source: RNAcentral
GACGAACGCUGGCGGCGUGCCUAAUACAUGCAAGUCGAACGGAAAGGCGCGGCGCUUGUGCCGUGCUCGUGUGGCGAACACGGGUGAGUAACGCGUGUAAAAUGUCCCUGUCAGUGGGAGAACACCUGGGAACACGGGCGAUAAUCGGAUAUAAGCUCUUGAUGCACGUUGGUGAAUAGUAAGAUACGGCGUUUCGGGAUGGAUUCGGGGGGUAUCAGCUUGUUGGUGGGGUAGUGGCUUACCAGGGCUUCGACGGGUAGCCGGCCUGAGAGGGUGAUCGGCGACAUGGGAACUGAGCCGCGGACCAUGCGCCUACGGGACGCAGCAGUAGGGAAUCUGCGGCAACGGGCGAAAGUCUGACGGAGCGAGGCCGCGUGAGUGACGAAGGUGUCCGGAGCGUAAAACUGUGUUGCUAGUGAAGAACAAAUUUGGCAGGAGACAAGGAGUGAGUGACGGUAAUGGAUCAAGAAGCCACGGCUAACUACGUG